Molecule: ribosomal RNA, 253 nt
Filed under: uncultured bacterium
Lineage: Bacteria
Description: partial 16S ribosomal RNA
Rfam family: Bacterial small subunit ribosomal RNA
Source: RNAcentral
AACGUAGGACGCAAGCGUUAUCCGGAGUUACUGGGCGUAAAGCGUCCGCAGGUGGCUGUUCAAGUCUGCUGUCAAAGACCGGGGCUUAACUUCGGAAAGGCAGUGGAAACUGAACAGCUAGAGUAUGGUAGGGGCAGAGGGAAUUCCUGGUGUAGCGGUGAAAUGCGUAGAGAUCAGGAAGAACAUCAGUGGCGAAGGCGCUCUGCUGGACCAUAACUGACACUCAGGGACGAAAGCUAGGGGAGCAAAUGGG